CUUUUGAUGGCGACCGGCGCACGGGUGAGUAACACGUAUCCAACCUGCCUCAUACUCGGGGAUAGCCUUUCGAAAGAAAGAUUAAUACCCGAUGUCAUAGUCCUACCGCAUGAUGGGAUUAUUAAAGAAUUUCGGUAUGGGAUGGGGAUGCGUUCCAUUAGUUAGUUGCGGGGUAACGGCCCACCAAGACAACGAUGGAUAGGGGUUCUGAGAGGAAGGUCCCCCACAUUGGAACUGAGACACGGUCCAAACUCCUACGGAAGGCAGCAG
Molecule: ribosomal RNA, 270 nt
Filed under: uncultured bacterium
Lineage: Bacteria
Description: partial 16S ribosomal RNA
Rfam family: Bacterial small subunit ribosomal RNA
Source: RNAcentral